RNAcentral lists this ribosomal RNA (416 nucleotides) under uncultured soil bacterium. RNAcentral describes it as "bacterial SSU rRNA". It matches the Rfam family "Bacterial small subunit ribosomal RNA", at positions 26 to 445 of the family's 1533-position model. The record is from RNAcentral.
AGGACGAACGCUGGCGGCGUGCUUAGCACAUGCAAGUCGAGCGGAAAGGCCUUUCGGGGUACUCGAGCGGCGAACGGGUGAGUAACACGUGAGUAAUCUGCCCAUCGCUUCAGGAUAGCCAUCGGAAACGGUGAUUAAUACUGGAUAUGACAUUCCUUCGCAUGUUGGGGUGUGGAAAGUUUUUUCGGCGGUGGAUGUGCUCGCGGCCUAUCAGCUUGUUGGUGGGGUAAUGGCCUACCAAGGCGACGACGGGUAGCCGGCCUGAGAGGGUGACCGGCACACUGGGACUGAGACACGGCCCAGACUCCGUACGGGAGGCAGCAGGUGGGGAAUACUUGACACAAGUGGGCGACAAGCCUAGAUGACAGCAACGCCGCGUGGAGGACGAGGCUGGUCGUAACUCUUAGUAGGAAGAG